RNAcentral lists this ribosomal RNA (482 nucleotides) under uncultured bacterium. Its description in RNAcentral is "bacterial SSU rRNA". It matches the Rfam family "Bacterial small subunit ribosomal RNA", at positions 30 to 507 of the family's 1533-position model. The record is from RNAcentral.
AUUGAACGCUGGCGGCAUGCCUUACACAUGCAAGUCGAACGGUAACAGGUCUUCGGAUGCUGACGAGUGGCGAACGGGUGAGUAAUACAUCGGAACGUGCCCGAUCGUGGGGGAUAACGGAGCGAAAGCUUUGCUAAUACCGCAUACGAUCUACGGAUGAAAGCAGGGGACCGCAAGGCCUUGCGCGGACGGAGCGGCCGAUGGCAGAUUAGGUAGUUGGUGGGAUAAAAGCUUACCAAGCCGACGAUCUGUAGCUGGUCUGAGAGGACGACCAGCCACACUGGGACUGGGACACGGCCCAGACUCCUACGGGAGGCAGCAGUGGGGAAUUUUGGACAAUGGGCGCAAGCCUGAUCCAGCCAUGCCGCGUGCAGGAUGAAGGCCUUCGGGUUGUAAACUGCUUUUGUACGGAACGAAAAGACUCUUUCUAAUAAAGAGGGUCCAUGACGGUACCGUAAGAAUAAGCACCGGCUAACUACGUG